Molecule: ribosomal RNA, 253 nt
Filed under: uncultured bacterium
Lineage: Bacteria
Description: partial 16S ribosomal RNA
Rfam family: Bacterial small subunit ribosomal RNA
Source: RNAcentral
UACGGGGGGAGCAAGCGUUGUUCGGAUUUACUGGGCGUAAAGGGCGCGUAGGCGGUUCGUUAAGUCCUGUGUGAAAUCCCCCGGCUCAACUGGGGAACUGCACAGGAAACUAGCGGGCUUGAGUUCGGGAGAGGGAAGCGGAAUUCCGGGUGUAGCGGUGAAAUGCGUAGAUAUCCGGAGGAACACCGAUGGCGAAGGCAGGUCUCUGGGCAUUAACUGACGCUGAGGAGCGAAAGCAUGGGGAGCGGAUGGG